Molecule: ribosomal RNA, 1012 nt
Filed under: Myrianida brachycephala
Lineage: Eukaryota; Metazoa; Annelida; Polychaeta; Phyllodocida; Syllidae
Description: 16S ribosomal RNA
Rfam family: Bacterial large subunit ribosomal RNA (bases 613-1012)
Source: RNAcentral
CUCGAAAAAAGAUGAGCUAAAAAUAUAUUAUUUAGAAUAAAUAAAUUAUAUAGCAAAAUAAUUACUAAAUAUAUUUAUUAGUGGCUACAUACCUCGCAUCUUUUAUACCUAGUUUGUAAUGAUUUUAUUUUAGUAAGACAAUAUUUAGAUAUUUAUAAUGAAUAAAAGGCUAAGCUUUUAUUUUCUCCUUAUCAUUCUUCCCACUAUUUAUAUAGGCUUCAAAAUAGCCAUUAUAUUUUGUUAUAAUUUCCUAUCUAAAAUAAUACCUUAUGAUAGUAAUAUACUUUACAAUUUUUAUAUAAUUUAAUAUUCUACUUAUUAUGGUAAAAUAAAUAUUUAUAAUCCUAACAUUCCAACUUAAAAUACCCAUUUACCCUAUCAACCCUUAAUAUAAUUAUAGAGUGAACUCGGCAACUUUCUACCUGGACUGUUUACCAAAAACAUUGUUUAUUGAAUUAAAUAAAUAAUAAAUAAUUUCUGCCCAGUGAAAUUUCAACGGCCGCGGUACUUUGACCGUGCAAAGGUAGCAUAAUCAUUUGCCUUUUUAUUGGAGGCUAGAAUGAAUGAAUAAACAUAGGUGGACCUGUGCCCUAUAAUCAUAUAAAAAUUAUUCUCCAGGUGAAGAAACCUGGAUAUUAUAAAAAGACAAAAAGACCCUAUCAAGCUUUAUAUUUAUUUAUAACUCUUAUAUUUUAUAUUUGGUUGGGGCGACUAAUGAGAAUUAAUACUCUCUCAAUAUUAUAAAGAAAAAUUCUUCUAUUUUAUUUAAUAUUAUAUUAUAAAAAAGCUACUGUAGGGAUAACAGGCUAAUAUUAUCCUAGAGUUCAAAUUAAAGAUAAUGAUUGGCACCUCGAUGUUGGCUUAGGGGCCCUCCUUUUUGUAGAAAAAAAGAAAGGUAGUUUGUUCAACUAUUAUACCCCUACAUGAGCUGAGUUCAGACCGAUGUAAAUCAGGUUAGUUUCUAUCUUUUAUUAUUAAAUUUUAAUUUUAUAGUACGAAAGGACCUAAAAUU